RNAcentral lists this ribosomal RNA (497 nucleotides) under uncultured bacterium. Its description in RNAcentral is "partial 16S ribosomal RNA". It matches the Rfam family "Bacterial small subunit ribosomal RNA", at positions 28 to 507 of the family's 1533-position model. The record is from RNAcentral.
GAUGAACGCUGGCGGCGUGCCUAAUACAUGCAAGUCGAGCGAACAGACGAGGAGCUUGCUCCUCUGACGUUAGCGGCGGACGGGUGAGUAACACGUGGAUAACCUACCUAUAAGACUGGGAUAACUUCGGGAAACCGGAGCUAAUACCGGAUAAUAUAUUGAACCGCAUGGUUCAAUAGUGAAAGACGGUUUUGCUGUCACUUAUAGAUGGAUCCGCGCCGCAUUAGCUAGUUGGUAAGGUAACGGCUUACCAAGGCAACGAUGCGUAGCCGACCUGAGAGGGUUGUCGGCCCAACUGGAAAUGAGACACGGUCCCGACUCCUAAGGGAAGCAGCAGUAGGGAAACUUCCGGAAAGGGCGGAAGGCUGAAGGAGCAACGCCGCGUGAGUGAUGAAGGUCUUCGGAUCGUAAAACUCUGUUAUUAGGGAAAAACAAAUGUGUAAGUAACUAUGCACGUCUUGACGGUACCUAAACAGAAAGCCACGGCUAACUACGUG